This 1007-nucleotide long non-coding RNA is filed under the name Anas platyrhynchos platyrhynchos (common mallard). Its description in RNAcentral is "lncRNA (ENSAPLG00000024338.1)". Lineage: Eukaryota; Metazoa; Chordata; Aves; Anseriformes; Anatidae. The record is from RNAcentral.
CACAGUGAAACCAAAUGGAAAAAAAAAAAAUAAAAAAAAAUAAAAAGAAAACAAAUUGAAAACAAAUGCUAAAACCAUGGACGGAAUCUGAGUUCUGGUUUAGACUCGGAUGUGAGUACACAAAAAUCACUUAAAACCCAUUCUGUGAUGGAUUUGUUUGGUUAUCAGGUUGCACUAUAUAUAUGAGUGUCAGAGCCUACUGCUGCCGUCGGCGGGAGGCAGAGACGCUGCCUGCGUGAGAUGUGAGCAAGUGGAUGACCUGAUCCGCAUGGUGGCAGAGCUCAAGGAGGAGGUGGAGAGGCUGAGGGCCAUCAGGGAAUGUGAGCGGGAGAUAGACUUCUGGAGCAACUCCCUGCAGGGCCUCAAGGAGAGGUACCGGGGUGAGACACCCCAAAUGGGGGUGGACCCCCUGCCCUGUCGCCGUCGGACAGAGGGAGGGGAUCUGGGAGUUGAGGAGGAAUGGAAACAGGUCCCUGCGCGACAUGGCAGGCGAUGCCCUCCCCUUCCGGCCCCACCUUCCCAGGUGCCCUUACAAAACAGGUUUGAGGCCCUGGAGAAUGAGAGAUCAACAGCAACUGAGGAAGAGGUAGAAAGUGUUCCCAGGAGGAUGCCUAGGGCGAGGAGGUCGACUCCACGCAUCAGGACUGCCUCCACCAAGAAAGAAAGAAGGGUGAUUGUCGUGGGAGGCUCUAUCCUUAGGGGGACAGAGGGCCCUAUCUGUCGGCCUGACCCUACCCGUAGGGAAGUCUGCUGCCUCCCUGGGGCCAGGGUCAGGGACGUUACCAGGAAGCUCCCCAACCUGGUACGCCCCUCAGACUAUUAUCCUCUUGUGAUAGUCCAGGCAGGUAGUGAUGACAUUGAUGACAGAAGCCUGAAGGCUAUCAAAAGAGACUUUAGGGGGCUGGGACGGUUAGUGGACAGAGCAGGAGUGCAGGUAGUAUUUUCGUCCAUCCCUACGCUGACAGGGAGGGGUACGGAGAGGACAAGGAAAGCCCACCUGUUAAACA